AAAAAAAAAAAAAAAAAACAUAACCCAAACAAAGUAGAAGUUGAGACAAAACCCACACACAACACUCUCUAAGUUGCUAAAACUCAAAUCACCAAGCAGGAUCAUGGUUCACGCCAAUGUGCUGAAAUAGAAGAUUCGAAGCUGGAGAAGAAGCCAAUGCACGAGUCAAUGCUGAACGCACUGUCACUCGCCGGUGUGUGAGGCAGCACUAGAAACCUGGAUCUGGCAUGUGAGCUUCACUUUUUGGGAGUCUGAUGACCUGACUUUGCGUGUAGGUUGAUCGGCGGCUUGGAAGUCCUUUGGGACUGGUGGUGAGAUGAAAAAGUCACCCUAAAUGAGUGAUUUGAAGACUCCAGUAGGUUAACCUAAGAACAAAUAGGGAAGCAAACAAAAAAAAAAUUCAGAUUUCAAGCUCUAAUACCAUGUUAAGAUUUAAGAAUGAAAAGAAGAAAAAGGAUGAAAGGGAAGAAAGGAAGAGAAGAAAAGAGAAAAAAAAAUAUAUCAGAAACUACAUCUUUAUUUUGAUUACUUUUAUAAAAUAAAGGAUUACUUAUUUUUUAUAUAAUCUCCUAUAAUUACUCUACUUA
Molecule: unclassified non-coding RNA, 587 nt
Filed under: Hevea brasiliensis (rubber tree)
Lineage: Eukaryota; Viridiplantae; Streptophyta; Magnoliopsida; Malpighiales; Euphorbiaceae
Source: RNAcentral